RNAcentral lists this long non-coding RNA (5036 nucleotides) under Lathyrus oleraceus (garden pea). RNAcentral's name for it is "Pisum sativum (pea) long non-coding RNA (PSAT_LNC020248)". Lineage: Eukaryota; Viridiplantae; Streptophyta; Magnoliopsida; Fabales; Fabaceae. The record is from RNAcentral.
ACUACGAAGCUCUGAAUUCCUCAUUGCACUAUGAGGAUACGUAGGCAUGAGGGCCCCAAUCCUCACCGAGCAAUUUAUCUAUUCCUUUCCUUUCCCUCAAUUCUUUUGCGAGUAAUCUUUAGCUAUCACACCUAUUCGAGCGAGAACAAUCAAAACGGUUCCCAUGGAGUACCAUGGAUGUUUGGGAUGCUAAUACAUUCCCCUUGCAUAACCGACUUCCUUACCUAGCAUAUCUCUUUCCCCCAGGUUUUAUCAAUGUUUUCCCUUCCCUUUGGGGGAUAAAUAAAGUUUGAUGGCAACUUUGUUGUAUGUUCGAGCGUGCGAUACGUUCGGGUAUAUUUCUGCUAACUUCAAUCAUAACCAUAUUCAGGUUCAGGAGUCAAUUAAGCAAGGGGAAGAUAUUAACACCUCUCACUUACGAUGUAUUCAACAGGAACCUUUUAGUUUUAUUUGUGAUUGAAUGUUAUCUUAUGUUAACUGUUUCUUUCAAGUGAUAAAAAAUGCAAAAGGAAAAGAAAAAGGGUCGUAAAAAGGUUUUUAUUAGGGUGCUUGACGAGAUUGCGGGUCUCGCUCCUUCGUAUCCUCGGGUACAAUGAGGAACUUAAAGCUCUGUAGUUCGGGGGGAAUGUUACAUUUUGUUGGUUUGUUUUAUUUGGACAAGUGUUUAGAUCGUAUUCUAACGAUUAAACAUUGACUUGUUUGCUCGCGGUGAAGACUUAAACGCUAGUUUGUAUUCGCAUUAGAAUGGACUAAACAAUGUCAUUUGCAAAAAAAGGUGUUUGAUGGCACGAGGGCGAGUAAUUAGGUUUGAUUUGUUUAAGUAGAUUUUAAACUUGGAAGACGAACAUUCAUGACCUGCAAGUAAUUACUACUUGAGUCUAAUAUUCGGGACUAUGACUGGACCUUUUACCUAGGUAGUCUUUUUCUUUCAAUUUGUUGCGAAAGUGUUUGAAUAGUUAUAAGUAUUUUGAGGGAAAUAAAAACACUUGAGAUUGCAAGAAAUUAUUACUUGGGCUUGGUGUUCAGGACUAUGACUGGACCUUUCACCCAUGUAGUCUUUUUCUUUCAAUUUGAUUAUGAAAUUGUGACGCGUUUGUAUUUUUUAGACAAAGAUGAAGUAUUUAUAACUUGCAAGCAAUUACUACUCGAGCCUAACAUAUCAGGAUUAUGACUAGAUCUUUCAUCCAUGUAGUCUUUUUCUUUCGUUAUUAUGAAAUAGUCAAAGUAUGGAGUAAUUUUUUGAAGUGGAUAAUGAAAAUCGCUUAAUGUUAGAUCAAACGUUUAGUUUGCGUUUGCGGAGUGAAUUGUGAAAUGAUUUGAAAUAUGGAUGAGUUUGAAUGAGUUUGGUUGAAAAUGAUUUGAAUCAGCGAUGAAAUGAGUUGUGAGAUAAGUCGAUCAAUAUUUAAUUAACAAAAUCAAUUGAUUAAAGUUUGAUUAAAUUACUUAAUUAAGCUAUCAAAAUUAAUUAUCAAAAUUGUUUGAUUAAAAAUUAAUGUAAUCAAAUAAUCAAGUUAGUUAAAAUUGAUUAAAAAAACUAUCUAAUUAAACAAAAAUUUAAUUAAUUAAUUAAUUUAAUUAAAGAAUAAGCAACAAGAUCAAGUGUAAAAUAAUCAAAACGAGUUAACCGUAAUAUGCUCAAAGUCGGUUUGUGCGUAACGACAAUAAAAUCAGAAUGUCGUACACAAGGAUCAUAACGCGCUAAAAUUAAAUCAAUAUAUUGAAACUAAAUUCCAACAGUAUAACAACAUGAAAUUUCUGAAUCCACGGAUAAAAGUCCGAGUAACACAACGCGAUGAAAACCAAAACAAUAGCAACUCAGAAUUAUCUACAUAAUACAAAUUAUGCACACUAUCCAAAAUAAUAAAACAAACAACAAUAUCGCAACAAAUUUGAAUCGAAAUCAAAAAUCAAGGCAACACAACACAAUAUAAUAGAGUAAUCGGUUCAGAAUGCUACCACCAUUUUGAGUUAGUUAUUAUCGCUAAUCAGAGGGAGAUGCUUUUGUGGAAGUCUUACUGAAAGGAUACUUGUAGGAACAAAAAUCACUAGGAGUUAACUCUACCUUUUCAAAAAAACUAAGACCAAUCAAACGAAACAGGGCUGGAAGAGGAUGAAACACUUAUUCAUCUAUUGAAUUUGUAGCAUCCUUAAGAGAAACCUGAUGUUGCUUAACAAACAUUGACAUAUUGAUGAACACAAUAAUUGAAAAAGCGAUAGUAUCCAUGAUGCACAAAACAUUAGGUGCAAAUUCACAUUUCCAUGGUUUUAUGAUCUUCCCUUUACACUGACAACUUUGUCAAUUCGCCGGAGCCAAUAAACCACCAAUCAAUAGAUUCAAACUCAACAGAGCAUUUCUUGUUGUCAACUUUGCACUUGAUGCAAAGGUGACCAGGUGCAGAGAUAAUUUCGGAGGAGACACCCACCAUUUAUUGAUAUCAUAUGUGGUUGUUGCUAUGAUGGAUGGGUUUGUUUUUUCACUGCUGUGUUCUCAUGUUUUUGGAUGUGCAAUUACGAAAAUGAGGUUAUAUAGGUCUGGUGCACCGACGACCAGAGUUUCGUAGUGGUUGUUGUUUGGGCUGUUAAUGAUGGAGUGGGGUUGUAGGUAAGAGGGUUUGAUGAUGUUGAAAGUGGUUAGGUGUUAAUAUGUGAAGAAAUUUAUGUGGAUAGAUGGUGGUUAGCGGCGACGCUCGAAGGUUAAGACACUUGGAAUGAGAGGUGGUAUGAUGUUUUGAGUGAGGUACAUAUGUUAUUUUUGUAGGUUUUAUUGAAGAAGGGAGUUUUUAGAAAAAUAUUCUAUCAAUUGAGAGAGAAGAAGGAGAGGGAAAGAGGUGAGAUUCCCCUCAUCCUGAAAAAGUGAGUCUUCAUUUUCUUUCAUGAAGGUGGCGUGUCAUCAGGCUAAUGGAAGAGAGAAAGUAUUCAAUCUUAUCUCCUUAGGGGCGCGUGACUUAAUAUUAUUGGAGGAUGUAUAUGUUAACCUCCUUUUAAAAUGUGAGACAGGGGUUUCUUUGAAAAGCGUUUUUCUUUUUCUCACUUACUGAUAGAGGGGGGUGUGGCAUGAAGGAGCCCCCAUAAUCACGUUUUUCCUAUUAUAAUAUAGUCUCUUUUUCUUCAUUUUCUUUUUAUUAUUUUUUCUUAAUUGUCAUUGGUGGAUAAAUAUGGACAUGUAUUGCAAUUGUAAGCCUUUGAUGACCUUGAUCAAAUGGUUUGAGAUUAGCACAAAGAAACACACAUUUAUCAAUUAAUUUAAAAUGUCAACAUUGCUCUAACUAUAUGUUUUAAUAAAUUAAAAUCAAUAUAAAUCAAUUUAAAUAAAUAAAAUUCACAUAUUUUAAAAUAGAUACAAUAAAAUAAAAAUGAAAAUAUAGUAAAUUCUAUUUAUUUUUAUGAAUAAUUUGACAAAAGGAUCAAAAUGAAUAAAAAUCGAGCGUAAAAGUGCUCGAAAAAUUAUAUUGAAUGCACUAAAAUGAUCAUAGUGAAAUAAACUUCUCAGAAACAUACAAGUUUUGAUCAAAUUUUAAAGUACAAAACACUCGGUUACAAAGGCUCAAGCUAGUCAGAAUGUGACCGAAAAAGGAGUCAAAAAAUGAAACGAGCACACCAAAUUAAACUACACAAAUUAUAGGUCAAUAAACAGACGUUUGCAGACCCGAUCUUUAAAUUUUUGUUCGUUGAUUUUAUGUAUAUUUGAAAAUUGAUUCAACCAAUCUAUCUGUAGAUCUGAAAAUUUACUUUGGUCGAUAUUUUAGACAUUAUACAUGAUGAAAAACAUGUUAUGCUAUGUAGAUGAUAUACGAUAAAAUAAAGUCGGAUAUAUGAAUUUUUUUUAAAUGUUCGAACAAAAUUGAGGUAUGAUAGGAAAUUAGAUGGAAUGGAAUAUAACAGAUUCCAUCAUGUUCAAUUCCAUUCCAUUCCAUUCCAUUCAUUAUUUACAAAUCUAAAUAAUAAAAUCAGAUUAAUUACCACUUCACUCUAUUCUAUUACAUCCCAUACCAUCAAUCUAAACAUACCCUUAUAUUCAUAUAUUUUUUAAAAAAACAUAUCACUAUUGUCAUCAAUCUAUUAUCAUGACCUAUCAUUCAUUGAUUUAAAUUUUAAAAUGUUAUUAUCAAUUUCAAAAAAAUAACUUGAAAAGUAGAAUUUUAUGACAAAUAAACACAUAUUUAUUAAAUUUUGAUGUAAAAUUUAUUUAUAAUGAACUUUUAAAAUAAGAAGAAAAAAAAAUAAAGAAUAAUAUUUUUAUAAAAGAAUAAAAUUCCAAAUAUGUGAUCCUAGUCGGUUAGUUUAAAACAAAAUAUUUUAUCUAAAAAAAAAGAGGGUUAUCCUAAUUGAUCGAUUUUAAUAUAUUUAAAAUAAAUUUCUGUAAAUUAUAUGUUUUAUUUUUAAUUCUUAAGUUUUUUUUGGAAUUGUUUAUAUUAAAACUAUUUUUAUAUUUUAGGUUCUAAAGUGAAAAUAUGAAGUAGAAAAAUCCGUAAUAUAUUUUAAAUCUAUAAAAGAAUUUAAGAGAAAAUCCAUAAUAAAACUGCAGAUUUUCUAAUAAAUUUAUAUUUUAAGAACUAAAAUAAAAGAAUUUAAAAUUUAGAGACUAUUUCAAAAAGAAAUUAAGAAUUAAAACCAAAAAAACACGUUAACUUAUUUAAGCCUUUGAAAAUAAUCAUAAUAAUGAUAUAAGUAGUACUGUAUAAUUUUGGAAAGUGUAUAAUGAAUUGAAAUGAUUAGAAUAAAUAGUCCCGUCAAGUUUCAUUUCUAACACUUUUUACCUGUCAGAGAUAUACACAACACAACAAACAAAAAUAACCCGUGUAAGCGUAGCGCAAAGGUGGUAUACACUACACCAUAAACGACGCUGCGUUCAACGACUUUUUUCGUUCCCUUCAGAUUUCGUAAUCGACGGCAGCGUCAGACUAACGGUGCCGCUUCGUGGUGCCGUCGUUACGCUUCUAUCUGUUACCUUCCUUAUACGCCAUCGUAUCGAUCCAUCUCAUCAACGAUCGUUCCUCUUUCAUCUCAAUUACCAAACCCUAAUUCAGACGAAGUUA